GUGAGGAAUAUUGGUCAAUGGGCGGAAGCCUGAACCAGCCAAGUAGCGUGCAGGAUGACGGCCCUAUGGGUUGUAAACUGCUUUUAUACGGGGAUAAAGUGCGCCACGUGUGGAGCAUUGCAGGUACCGUAUGAAUAAGGACCGGCUAAUUCCGUGCCAGCAGCCGCGGUAAUACGGAAGGUCCGGGCGUUAUCCGGAUUUAUUGGGUUUAAAGGGAGCGCAGGCCGGAAGCAAAGAGUGCCGUGAAAUGUAGAUGCUCAACAUCUGAAUUGCGGCGCGAACUGGUUUUCUUGAGUGCAUACGAGGUAGGCGGAAUUUGUGGUGUAGCGGUGAAAUGCUUAGAUAUCACGAAGAACUCCGAUUGCGAAGGCAGCCUACCAGGAUGUAACUGACGCUAAAGCUCGAAAGUGCGGGUAUCGAACAGGAUUAGAAACCCCAGUAGUCC
Molecule: ribosomal RNA, 445 nt
Filed under: uncultured bacterium
Lineage: Bacteria
Description: partial 16S ribosomal RNA
Rfam family: Bacterial small subunit ribosomal RNA
Source: RNAcentral